GGAAACUGUAGUGAUCUGUUGAAACGUCAGUAGGUCAUGGACAUAAAUGUUAUUCUCUAACAGACUGACCAGAAUUUUAAACUGAGAAACAACAUGAAUCUGCUGAAUCUUUUUUGAGAAGUUCUUGUUGGAUUUCUCGAGUGUCACUUCAAAUCUAUUGCAACCUAUGUCCUUCUUGAUCCUGUAAAGAAGAAGAUGCCCUUGUUUGGUACCAACAAG
Molecule: long non-coding RNA, 219 nt
Filed under: Gallus gallus (chicken)
Lineage: Eukaryota; Metazoa; Chordata; Aves; Galliformes; Phasianidae
Source: RNAcentral